This 351-nucleotide unclassified non-coding RNA is filed under the name soil metagenome. RNAcentral describes it as "partial contains 5.8S ribosomal RNA, internal transcribed spacer 2, and large subunit ribosomal RNA". The stretch from base 1 to 120 matches the Rfam family "5.8S ribosomal RNA", at positions 35 to 154 of the family's 154-position model. The record is from RNAcentral.
GAUGAAGAACGCAGCGAAAUGCGAAAAGUAAUGUGAAUUGCAGAAUUCAGUGAAUCAUCGAAUCUUUGAACGCACAUUGCGCCCGCUGGUACUCCGGCGGGCACGCCUGUCCGAGCGUCAUUUCAACCCUCAAGCCCUCCUUCGGGAUGGGCCUGGUGUUGGGGCUCGGCCGCCAUCUCCGGCGGCCGUCCCCUAAAUACAGUGGCGGUCACGUCGCGACUCCUUUGCGUAGUAGAAACACCUCGCUCCGGAUAGCAACGCGGUCCACGCCGUAAAACCACCAAUUUUCAAUGGUUGACCUCGGAUCAGGUGGGAAUACCCGCUGAACUUAAGCAUAUCAAUAAGCGAGGA